Molecule: ribosomal RNA, 465 nt
Filed under: Vreelandella stevensii
Lineage: Bacteria; Pseudomonadati; Pseudomonadota; Gammaproteobacteria; Oceanospirillales; Halomonadaceae
Description: partial 16S ribosomal RNA
Rfam family: Bacterial small subunit ribosomal RNA
Source: RNAcentral
CCUACGGGAGGCUGCAGUGGGGAAUAUUGGACAAUGGGGGGAACCCUGAUCCAGCCAUGCCGCGUGUGUGAAGAAGGCCCUCGGGUUGUAAAGCACUUUCAGUGAGGAAGAACGCCUGGUGGUUAAUACCCAUCAGGAAAGACAUCACUCACAGAAGAAGCACCGGCUAACUCCGUGCCAGCAGCCGCGGUAAUACGGAGGGUGCGAGCGUGAAUCGGAAUUACUGGGCGUAAAGCGCGCGUAGGUGGCUUGAUAAGCCGGUUGUGAAAGCCCCGGGCUCAACCUGGGAACGGCAUCCGGAACUGUCAAGCUAGAGUGCAGGAGAGGAAGGUAGAAUUCCCGGUGUAGCGGUGAAAUGCGUAGAGAUCGGGAGGAAUACCAGUGGCGAAGGCGGCCUUCUGGACUGACACUGACACUGAGGUGCGAAAGCGUGGGUAGCAAACAGGAUUAGAUACCCUAGUAGUC